Triticum aestivum (bread wheat) is the source of this 128-nucleotide non-coding RNA. The record is from Rfam. NCBI's taxonomy places the organism in Eukaryota, Viridiplantae, Streptophyta, Magnoliopsida, Poales, Poaceae.
UAAGUACUCCCUCCGUCCCAAAAUUCUUGUCUUAAAUUUGUCUAGAUACGGAUGUAUGUACUCCCUCCCUCCCAAAAUCGUAUCUAGACAAACUUAAGACAAGAAUUUUGGGAGGGAGGGAGUACUAU